UACGUAGGGUGCGAGCGUUGUUCGGAAUUACUGGGCGUAAAGAGCUCGUAGGUGGUUUGUCGCGUUGUUCGUGAAAACCGGGGGCUUAACCCUCGGCGUGCGGGCGAUACGGGCAGACUGGAGUACUGCAGGGGAGACUGGAAUUCCUGGUGUAGCGGUGGAAUGCGCAGAUAUCAGGAGGAACACCGGUGGCGAAGGCGGGUCUCUGGGCAGUAACUGACGCUGAGGAGCGAAAGCGUGGGGAGCGAACAGG
RNAcentral lists this ribosomal RNA (253 nucleotides) under uncultured bacterium. RNAcentral's name for it is "partial 16S ribosomal RNA". It matches the Rfam family "Bacterial small subunit ribosomal RNA", at positions 524 to 776 of the family's 1533-position model. The record is from RNAcentral.